AAGGCCACGUUUAUCGGACAAGAUAUUCACUGACUGACAUCCGUCGAUAAAUCCACACAAUAAAACAGUACUUAUUCUUAUCAUAUCUUCCCUCUUUUUCAAUACCUUCCAUCUACCUGACUAGAUAUAGGUAGGGCUAUAGGAGCUAUCCGAAUGUUUCAUCCCCUUAUGUAAGCGGCGGGUGGAUCACCUAACUAAUACAUAGCUCCUCCGCGACUUCAUUAUCAAGCCAAAAUUUGUUUCUUCUCAACCAAGGGAUAGUUGCGCAUGGCAACCAUUAAAAAUAAAUAUAUAGAAAGAUUCUGAAGCCCAGAAAAAACUAAUGUCUACUGCGGUGGUUUACCCGCACCUAAUCUCGAGGUCAGUGUUAUGAACAACAAAUUCCCAACGUAUUGGACGCAAAUAAUUAUACCCUGCCGAUUUUCCAAUCUCCCCCUCAACACCGCUGCCAAAUUCUACCCUCCAAAAGAAAACCAUAUGCAAAAGAAACUCGGAAACCUCAUCCUGUAACUAACCACCUAACAACACGCAACCAAAACAGAAUCGGAGACCCGCUGUUCGCCGUCUUCAUCGGCACUUCAGCCGCAUACUUGCGCAUCCGCCGCGAACAUAGAGAGAAACA
RNAcentral lists this small RNA (622 nucleotides) under Histoplasma capsulatum. RNAcentral describes it as "hypothetical RNA". Lineage: Eukaryota; Fungi; Ascomycota; Eurotiomycetes; Onygenales; Ajellomycetaceae. RNAcentral also lists the same sequence under 1 other name. The record is from RNAcentral.